RNAcentral lists this ribosomal RNA (434 nucleotides) under Elysia pusilla. Its description in RNAcentral is "partial 16S ribosomal RNA". It matches the Rfam family "Bacterial large subunit ribosomal RNA", at positions 1832 to 2596 of the family's 2925-position model. The record is from RNAcentral. Lineage: Eukaryota; Metazoa; Mollusca; Gastropoda; Plakobranchidae.
AGCCUUGAGAUAUUAUUUUAGGUGAAGCCUGCCCAGUGCUAAUUGUAAACGGCCGCAGUACCUUGACUGUGCUAAGGUAGCAUAAUCAGUUGGCUUUUAAAUGGAGUCGGGAAUGAAUGGAUUUAUGGGGUUGAGCUGUCUCCACUAUACUGAUUUGAAUUUACUUAGUAGGUGAAAAUGCCUACAAUAAGAAAAAAGACGAGAAGACCCUAGGAGUUUUAAUUAAAGUUGACAUGGGUUAGCUAAUGUUUUUGUUGGGGCGACAUGGGAGAAGUAUUUUAACCUCCUUUACUAACCUGCCGACUUAGUAUGAGCGGGUAAACUACCCUAGGGAUAACAGCGUAAUUCUUUUAGAGCUUGCGACCUCGAUGUUGGACUAGGAAUUUGGUGGGCUAGCCGCCUAUUUAUAUUGUUCUGUUCGAACUAUCUUUCCU